Small nucleolar RNA from Myotis lucifugus (little brown bat), 138 nucleotides. Ensembl annotates it as small nucleolar RNA SNORA8. The record is from Ensembl. NCBI's taxonomy places the organism in Eukaryota, Metazoa, Chordata, Mammalia, Chiroptera, Vespertilionidae.
UGUAUUGCACUGGUGUCUACAUUCAGCAGUUUAUUCCUGCUGGGUGUUCAAAGGACAGUAUGAUAUAAAUUCAGUAUCUGGCAUUGUUGGUUAUCUUGGCUUCAUUCAUGUUAAACCUGGAUUUUCACUGAUACAGUA